AGCUUUGUGCAGUGGCAGUAUCAUAGCCAAUGAGGUUUAUCCAAGGCAUGAUUAUUGCUAAUUAAAUUAUAAUAUUCAUACAUAUUUUUCAUUUCUAGAGGUUCUAUUUGGUU
RNAcentral lists this small nuclear RNA (113 nucleotides) under Physeter macrocephalus (sperm whale). Its description in RNAcentral is "Physeter catodon (sperm whale) U4 spliceosomal RNA (ENSPCTG00005000284.1)". It matches the Rfam family "U4 spliceosomal RNA". Rfam says of the family: U4 small nuclear RNA (U4 snRNA) is a component of the major U2-dependent spliceosome. The structure of U4 snRNA from yeast and human has been reported. Lineage: Eukaryota; Metazoa; Chordata; Mammalia; Artiodactyla; Physeteridae. The record is from Rfam by way of RNAcentral.